Molecule: long non-coding RNA, 1588 nt
Organism: Polypterus senegalus (gray bichir)
Lineage: Eukaryota; Metazoa; Chordata; Cladistia; Polypteriformes; Polypteridae
Exons: 3
Source: RefSeq, a predicted model, not a curated record
AUCGCCGCCCAGAAUAUCCACAGAGGGCGGUGAUGCUGUUUGGGGGUCUUUCCACUUCGGGUAGAGUGGCGCUACAUCUCAGAUCGCUGCAAUGUUGCUAUUCAAACCAGUACGGUGUAAAAACAGCAGGGCGAAACUUUGAAAAACACAUACUACGCUGUCACGUGUUGUUGAUCUAACACAAAAAUGCCAUCAGAAUAAAACUUAAAAGAAUGAAAUAUUGGUUGCAGUAAAUUGCAAGUACCAAAAUGGCCGCUUCGGAUUGGCCAGACUAUUCAUCACACAUCUUUUUGCUAUGUAUAUCAGUUUAUGGCGGGGCGAUUUGGUGUGAUAUCACGUAACUGUGACAUGGGACAUGUCAUCAACUGGUUCAAUAUUUACAUUUUCUUAUCUAUAGCAAUAAGAGAGUGAAAUGCGAUAAUUAAAUCCACAAUCAUAUUUCGGAACUUUGCCGUUUCGCUCCUGUUACACCUAACCAACCCAAACUUUUAAAACGUAUUGCAGACCCCUUUAAUAAGCGUGACAUGAGCAAAGAACGGCCAUAACUCAAAGUUCCAGGUCAGUUCCUUCGUUCAUCCACCCAAUUUAUGAGCCAUCUUUUUUCAAUACGGUUUCGUCGGCGCUCUACGCCAAUCCUGACAGCAUCGAUCGUAUGGCAGGAACUCGUCCUGGAUGGGACGCCGCCAUUCAUAACAAGACAUAAUGACAACGAAAGCAUCCUCGAAGAAAUGCGUGACUUUUGGAAGCGGGGGAAUUCGUUCAGGGCAACGUCGGAUCUGAAAUCUCUGGGCAUCGACAUAUGGCAGGUUCAGCUAUAGUGAAGAAGACCAUAACCUGGAAGAAGAUCCAUAACUUGCCUCAGAGUCUGCAUCUAGCCUGCUGCUUAAAAUGGAAUAAAGCGUCUCCAUCACGCCAUCAGUUAUGAUGUGACCAGUGAGGAAGAUUUACUGGUGUUGGCCAGACUCCCUUAUUUUUUUCCAUUUUUAACUUUUCCCAAUGGCUGAGGUUAGCUGAGGUUCCCCAAUUUUGGCUUAAAUUGUCUCUUUCUUGUUACUCAGGACAUGAUCUGAUGUUUUCAAGUACAUUCACCUGUUAGGUUUAUUGGGUCAUCAUUGUCUUUCUUUUUUAAUUUAUUUUUAUUGAUUUUAAUUAGAAACAGAUAACAUUCCAUACAGUCAAGAUAAAUUUAACAAAUCAAAGCGAAAUUUGAAGAGUGGGGAACCACCAACCAUAGCUACUCUAUAAAAAGAACAAGAAAAGAAGGGUAUCCUUUUCCCCGAAAUGAAAACUUAUUCUAAAAUGUUAUUGAUUAGAUCCUGCCAUAUUUUAAAAAAGUUUUGAAUAGAUCCUUUACGUGAGAUUCUGAUUUUUUUUCCAGUUUCAUGUAGUAUAGAACAUUGGUUGCCCCCUGACUUAAGAGUGGUGGGGUGGGAUUUUUCCAGUUGAGCAAGAUAAGUGUAAGAGCUAGUAGUGUAGUAAAGGAAAUUACAGCUACUUUUCCCUUCUCCACUUUACGUCCAUCACAGCUGUUAAUGGGUUAGGAGUGAUUGUGACACCAAGACUGUCUGAAAGGCAUGCAAAGAGUUUG